RNAcentral lists this ribosomal RNA (683 nucleotides) under Planomicrobium okeanokoites. RNAcentral describes it as "bacterial SSU rRNA". It matches the Rfam family "Bacterial small subunit ribosomal RNA", at positions 28 to 696 of the family's 1533-position model. The record is from RNAcentral. Lineage: Bacteria; Bacillati; Bacillota; Bacilli; Caryophanales; Caryophanaceae.
GACGAACGCUGGCGGCGUGCCUAAUACAUGCAAGUCGAGCGGAACCUUUGGAGCUUGCUCAAUANGGUUUAGCGGCGGAGGGGUGAGUAACACGUGGGCAACCUGCCCUGCAGAUCGGGAUAACUCCGGGAAACCGGUGCUAAUACCGAAUAGUUUUUUGCCCCUCCUGGGNGAAACGGAAAGACGGUUUCGGCUGUCACUGCAGGAUGGGCCCGCGGCGCAUUAGCUAGUUGGUGGGGUAAUGGCCCACCAAGGCGACGAUGCGUANCCGACCUGAGAGGGUGAUCGGCCACACUGGGACUGAGACACGGCCCAGACUCCUACGGGAGGCAGCAGUAGGGAAUCUCCGCAAUGGACGCAAGUCUGACGGAGCAACGCCGCGUGAGUGACGAAGGUUUUCGGAUCGUAAAACUCUGUUGUGAGGGAAGAACAAGUACCAAGUAACUACUGGUACCUUGACGGUACCUCACCAGAAAGCCACGGCUAACUACGUGCCAGCAGCCGCGGUAAUACGUAGGUGGCAAGCGUUGUCCGGAAUUAUUGGGCGUAAAGCGCGCGCAGGCGGUCCCUUAAGUCUGAUGUGAAAGCCCACGGCUCAACCGUGGAGGGUCAUUGGAAACUGGGGGACUUGAGUGCAGAAGAGGAAAGUGGAAUUCCACGUGUAGCGGUGAAAUGCGUAGAGA